RNAcentral lists this ribosomal RNA (447 nucleotides) under uncultured bacterium. Its description in RNAcentral is "partial 16S ribosomal RNA". It matches the Rfam family "Bacterial small subunit ribosomal RNA", at positions 29 to 523 of the family's 1533-position model. The record is from RNAcentral.
AACGAACGCUGGCGGCAGGCUUAACACAUGCAAGUCGAACGCCCCGCAAGGGGAGUGGCAGACGGGUGAGUAACGCGUGGGAAUCUACCGUACCCUACGGAAUAGCUCCGGGAAACUGGAAUUAAUACCGUAUACGCCCUACGGGGGAAAGAUUUAUCGGGGUAUGAUGAGCCCGCGUUGGAUUAGCUAGUUGGUGGGGUAAAGGCCUACCAAGGCGACGAUCCAUAGCUGGUCUGAGAGGAUGAUCAGCCACAUUGGGACUGAGACACGGCCCAAACUCCUACGGGAGGCAGCAGUGGGGAAUAUUGGACAAUGGGCGCAAGCCUGAUCCAGCCAUGCCGCGUGAGUGAUGAAGGUCUUAGGAUUGUAAAGCUCUUUCACCGAUGAAGAUAAUGACGGUAGUCGGAGAAGAAGCCCCGGCUAACUUCGUGCCAGCCGCCGCAGUAA